Molecule: long non-coding RNA, 1500 nt
Organism: Hemicordylus capensis (graceful crag lizard)
Lineage: Eukaryota; Metazoa; Chordata; Lepidosauria; Squamata; Cordylidae
Exons: 4
Source: RefSeq, a predicted model, not a curated record
UGAAGGAGGGGUUUUCAAAUGUACUUAAGGAGGCAGCCAGCCAUUCUGACCAUUCUGCCUUUCUGUCUCAUGGGAGAAGAGAGAGAGGGGGCCAGAGGAACUUUACUUUGCCUUGCCUGCCUUCUGCCUGGAGUGGAUUCUCUGCUUUUUGUGCCUGCUUUCCUGAUUGAGGAAAAGAGAAGAGAAUUUUUUCCCACUCCCUUCCUGCUGCUGAGAGAAUCACUACCUGCACCUGCUGUCUGGGUGAACUGAUUUGGGUACAAAAUUAUUUGUACCCAAAUCUACCUGUUUCAGGAGAUUUGUGGACAAAACAAAUCACCCCUGUGCUAGUUGGCCAAAUUCAGACUCAAAACAAAUCGGGGGUGAUUCAAUUCAGAAUCCCUGUAAUAGGUUGAAAGGGAUAGCUAGUCGAAAGCCACUUACAAUGAUGGGCAAUCUCUCCUUGGCUCGAUUAUAGUUGGCUUGGUUCAGCAACCCAGAAGGACAUUUGAAUUUCCCUGUGUAACUAAAGGGUUAAAAUAACAUCUGGACAUGCACCAACACAACAGAACCCUAUGGAGUUUGUCUCUGCUUAGCCAUGAAGACUCCACAGAUGCCAUUAAUCUCAAUUUAAUUACAAAAAUGAAUUCCCAUCACACCAACUAAAAUUGGAAUUUAUAAUUUGCAACUGGUGACACUGUCUUUUGCAGAAGAGCUUCAGGAGAGCUAUUAUAAUACUGUCACAUGAAAAAAUCAACGCAACAUAAUUUCAUUUGGCAACAAGGAAUUUACAUCAGCUACUCUUGAUGCAAAAGGAAUUCAAUAAUGGAAAAUAUGUAGUCGUAUUUUUGCAUUUAUUUAUAGGCUCUUUUAAUUUCAAAACAAAUUUCAGUGUAGCAUACAUAAUUCUGUCUGGUUUUAGGGGUUUUCAUUAAACUAUAAGUGAAUUGCCCUUCUGGCUGAAAAUCUGUUUUGCUUUGCGUUCCCUUCCCUCCCACUUACAAUAUUCCAUCUUAAAUUCCACAAGGAUUCUAUAGAUCUUAUUUAAGCAGGGCCAAGCAGCACAAAGCGCAUCUGCCCUGGAGAAGUUUGCCUCUCUUAACAUGCAGCCCAUCGCUAAUGCCCCUUUUUCAUUUAGGUUUUCAAUUUGGAUGUAUUCCAAAUUACCUUUUAUUCCAAUAGAAACACUACUAAUUACACAAAGCAUCUUAAUAAAGAAUGGAAACAAGAUUUAAAAAACCUCCUCCUUCUGGUGUUCUAAUGUGAAGUGGUUUUAAAUGGCACAAAAGGAGGACCUGCCAUAUCCAUAGCUUUACUUAGGCCCCUUGAAAAAAUACUCGGCAUUCUUUUUCCUUAUGCAGAGAGAAUUCUUCAGAAUAGGGAGGUAAAAUACAAUUUAUUUGGGCUGUGCAUGGCUCCAAAUGUCAGGUUCCAAUAUGGCCUAACCGAACAGGGAGCCUGUCUGGGAGAGCUGGCAUGGCCCCUCCCACCUUUCAUUUUGUCUGUGUCAGGGCCGGGGUG